Molecule: long non-coding RNA, 956 nt
Organism: Pseudopipra pipra
Lineage: Eukaryota; Metazoa; Chordata; Aves; Passeriformes; Pipridae
Exons: 2
Source: RefSeq, a predicted model, not a curated record
GCGCUCUGCCAUGCUCCCCAGUACCACCGAAACUGUUAAUCAGCCUGCUCUGCAGUCUACUGCGGAGUUUGCUUUAUUAAAGCUCCCUGCUGCCUGCACACGUUCACUGGCACAGACAUCGAGAGACAAGCAAACACUUACCCAAGUGCAGAGUACUCACUGCUGCAUUGCAGAGUUUACUGGCAUAAAAUGAUGGGGCAAUAGCAGUGUUUAAAACCUCACAGCUUGCAGUUCGUGGAGGAGAAUGAUGGAAGAAGAGAUGGAAGAACUGCCAUUGCUGCUGAUUGUCACUUCAAAUCCUUGGGGAAAGUCUUCUGGAAGUGAUUGGGAACUGAUCACCUCUCUACAGACUUCUUGAGUCAUCUCAGAGAAUUUAAUAGAAAAGAAUUCUUUUGCUUCAGAUUGGUAUAAUGUGACUUAAAAGUGCUAGAAAAAAGUCUUAAUUUUCACAAUCUAAAUUAUCAAUCAGAUGGAGUAAAUUAAUCUGACUUCUGUUGCAAUUCUGUGUACCAGCUCAGUCUCUAACAACACAGCUUUUCAUAUGUUUAUUUGCACUACACAGCUUUUCCUAUGUGUAUUUGCACUUGCACUACUUUAGUAGUUCCACCUCUGGGGCUUUCACACAAAGAUAAGAGCCUUUUUUACAUUUGUUUGAGGCCUGACGUGAAAGGUUUAUCUCCAUGUAAAUUUUUCCAGGCUGGUUGUGAAACCUCUGAAAUGGAUGGUAAAGAAAGUUCUGAUGAAACUUAGCUGUAGUUGAGUACUCCAAUGCUGUAAGGGAAAAUCCCCUGAAUUGCUGUCAGUGGGUGAGCAGCCAGGCUUUCAUCACCUUCAUUCUUCACUGUAAUCUUCAUUAACAUAAGAGUUGGUAUUUUGCUCCUCACUGAUGGAUGCCAUACUGUUUGAACUCCAAGGGACUGGUGGAAUAAAGGCAUGUAUACAGGCCUCUCUGCUGA